This 77-nucleotide transfer RNA is filed under the name Roseateles oligotrophus. RNAcentral describes it as "tRNA-Gln". It matches the Rfam family "tRNA". From Rfam's summary of the family: Transfer RNA (tRNA) molecules are approximately 80 nucleotides in length. Their secondary structure includes four short double-helical elements and three loops (D, anti-codon, and T loops). The record is from RNAcentral. Lineage: Bacteria; Pseudomonadati; Pseudomonadota; Betaproteobacteria; Burkholderiales; Sphaerotilaceae. RNAcentral also lists the same sequence under 5 other names.
AGGGGAGUCGCCAAGUUGGUUAAGGCAACGGAUUUUGAUUCCGUCAUGCGAAGGUUCGAAUCCUUCUUCCCCUGCCA